Molecule: small RNA, 151 nt
Filed under: Izhakiella capsodis
Lineage: Bacteria; Pseudomonadati; Pseudomonadota; Gammaproteobacteria; Enterobacterales; Erwiniaceae
Description: Glm Y RNA activator of glmS mRNA
Rfam family: Glm Y RNA activator of glmS mRNA
About the family: This family consists of a number of bacterial RNA genes of around 167 bases in length.
Source: Rfam by way of RNAcentral
UGUUGCUUAUUCUCCUGUUUAUAAAGCCCGGCUUAAGUGCUUAUAAAAAAUGAAUAAAGCACAAAACGGUGCCUGUCGUCCUUCAGACCGAUAAGCGUGCCUUCGGGUCGUUAUCAAGCAUUGGACGCAACGUUGAGUUAGGCACCAUCUA